RNAcentral lists this ribosomal RNA (396 nucleotides) under Triticum aestivum (bread wheat). Its description in RNAcentral is "partial small subunit ribosomal RNA". Lineage: Eukaryota; Viridiplantae; Streptophyta; Magnoliopsida; Poales; Poaceae. The record is from RNAcentral.
AUGACAAUGCUUUCGAUAGUCUAUACUAAAUUACUUUGUAUGAAUGCACAUCUCGGCCAUCGGGUAGCUGAUCACCAUUUCAAAGUCUAUAUCCGUGGUUCAAGAAAUGGAAUUGCUAUUCUCGAUUCAAACAAGACACUGAUUUGUUUACGAAACGCUCUUCAUUUUAUAGGAUCUCCCAGUCGUCAAAAAGGCCGUUCCUUCUUUUUAAAGACCAAUCAUUUAUUUAUUUAUGAGAUAACAGAAGAAAUGGCGAGCUAUUUAAGAAGCUAUUUAAGAAAUGUGAAUUCUCAUUGUUUCGAUGAUUCUCAAUGGAAGAUCGGGGCGUUUUUGACCAAAUCUUUUGCAAAUAAAAAAAAUUCCGUUCAAGAAAGAAGAAGAUCAAUUUUGGGUUGA